RNAcentral lists this ribosomal RNA (360 nucleotides) under Mucispirillum sp. RNAcentral's name for it is "bacterial SSU rRNA". It matches the Rfam family "Bacterial small subunit ribosomal RNA", at positions 1 to 353 of the family's 1533-position model. Lineage: Bacteria; Pseudomonadati; Deferribacterota; Deferribacteres; Deferribacterales; Mucispirillaceae. The record is from RNAcentral.
CAGCAAGAUAGAGUUUGAUCCUGGCUCAGAACGAACGCUGGCGGCGUGCUUAACACAUGCAAGUCAGGGAGAAAGUCUCUUCGGGGAUGAUUAAACCGGCGCACGGGUGAGUAACACGUGAGUGACCUGCCUUUUAGACUGGAACAACUUACCGAAAGGUGAGCUAAUGCCGGAUGAGUUAUAUAAGUGCAUGUUUAUAUAGGAAAAGUUGGGGAGACCUGACGCUGAAAGAUGGACUCGCGUCCCAUUAGCUAGUUGGUAGGGUAAUGGCCUACCAAGGCGACGAUGGGUAGCCGGCCUGAGAGGGUGGCCGGCCACACUGGGACUGAGACACGGCCCAAACUCCUACGGGAGGCAGCA